This 87-nucleotide non-coding RNA is filed under the name Pseudomonas baetica. Lineage: Bacteria; Pseudomonadati; Pseudomonadota; Gammaproteobacteria; Pseudomonadales; Pseudomonadaceae. The record is from RNAcentral.
UGUGAGAGCGGGCUUGCUCGCGAACGCGGUCUGUCAGAUACAUUUUUGUAACUGACCCACCGCUUCGCGAGCAGGCUCGCUCCCACA